CAGCAGCCGCGGGAAUACGAGGGGGGCAAGCGUUGUUCGGAUUUAUUGGGCGUAAAGGGUGCGUAGGCGGUUUGGCAAGUCUUGUGUGAAAUCUUCGGGCUCAACCCGAAGCCUGCACGAGAAACUACCGGGCUUGAGUAUUGGAGAGGUGAGUGGAAUUUCCGGUGUAGCGGUGAAAUGCGUAGAUAUCGGAAGGAACACCUGUGGCGAAAGCGGCUCACUGGACAAUAACUGACGCUGAUGCACGAAAGCUAGGGGAGCAAACAGGAUUAGAUACCCGCGUAGUCCCUGUCUCUUAUAA
RNAcentral lists this ribosomal RNA (301 nucleotides) under uncultured bacterium. Its description in RNAcentral is "partial 16S ribosomal RNA". It matches the Rfam family "Bacterial small subunit ribosomal RNA", at positions 509 to 809 of the family's 1533-position model. The record is from RNAcentral.